This 2888-nucleotide ribosomal RNA is filed under the name Vibrio mimicus VM223. Its description in RNAcentral is "bacterial LSU rRNA". It matches the Rfam family "Bacterial large subunit ribosomal RNA". Lineage: Bacteria; Pseudomonadati; Pseudomonadota; Gammaproteobacteria; Vibrionales; Vibrionaceae. The record is from RNAcentral.
GGUUAAGUGACUAAGCGUACACGGUGGAUGCCUGGGCAGUCAGAGGCGAUGAAGGACGUACUAACUUGCGAUAAGCGCAGAUAAGGCAGUAAGAGCCGUUUGAGUCUGCGAUUUCCGAAUGGGGAAACCCAACUGCAUAAGCAGUUACUGUUAACUGAAUCCAUAGGUUAACAGAGCAAACCGGGGGAACUGAAACAUCUAAGUACCCCGAGGAGAAGAAAUCAACCGAGAUUCCGGUAGUAGCGGCGAGCGAACCUGGAUUAGCCCUUAAGCACUCGUUGAAGUAGGUGAACAAGCUGGAAAGCUUGGCGAUACAGGGUGAUAGCCCCGUAACCGACGCUUCAUCGAGCGUGAAAUCGAGUAGGGCGGGACACGUGAUAUCCUGUCUGAAUAUGGGGGGACCAUCCUCCAAGGCUAAAUACUCCUGACUGACCGAUAGUGAACCAGUACCGUGAGGGAAAGGCGAAAAGAACCCCUGUGAGGGGAGUGAAAUAGAACCUGAAACCGUGUACGUACAAGCAGUAGGAGCACCUUCGUGGUGUGACUGCGUACCUUUUGUAUAAUGGGUCAGCGACUUAUAUUCAGUGGCAAGGUUAACCGUAUAGGGGAGCCGUAGCGAAAGCGAGUCUUAACUGGGCGUUCAGUCUCUGGAUAUAGACCCGAAACCGGGUGAUCUAGCCAUGGGCAGGUUGAAGGUUGAGUAACAUCAACUGGAGGACCGAACCGACUAAUGUUGAAAAAUUAGCGGAUGACUUGUGGCUAGGGGUGAAAGGCCAAUCAAACUCGGAGAUAGCUGGUUCUCCCCGAAAGCUAUUUAGGUAGCGCCUCGGACGAAUACUACUGGGGGUAGAGCACUGUUAAGGCUAGGGGGUCAUCCCGACUUACCAACCCUUUGCAAACUCCGAAUACCAGUAAGUACUAUCCGGGAGACACACGGCGGGUGCUAACGUCUCGUCGUGGAGAGGGAAACAACCCAGACCGCCAGCUAAGGUCCCAAAGUAUUGCUAAGUGGGAAACGAUGUGGGAAGGCUCAGACAGCUAGGAUGUUGGCUUAGAAGCAGCCAUCAUUUAAAGAAAGCGUAAUAGCUCACUAGUCGAGUCGGCCUGCGCGGAAGAUGUAACGGGGCUAAGCAAUACACCGAAGCUGCGGCAAUAUCUUUUAGAUAUUGGGUAGGGGAGCGUUCUGUAAGCCGUUGAAGGUGAAUCGUAAGGUUUGCUGGAGGUAUCAGAAGUGCGAAUGCUGACAUGAGUAACGACAAGGGGGGUGAAAAACCUCCCCGCCGGAAGACCAAGGGUUCCUGUCCAACGUUAAUCGGGGCAGGGUGAGUCGACCCCUAAGGCGAGGCUGAAAAGCGUAGUCGAUGGGAAACGGGUUAAUAUUCCCGUACUUCUUACAAUUGCGAUGGGGGGACGGAGAAGGCUAGGUGGGCCAGGCGACGGUUGUCCUGGUUCAAGUGCGUAGGCUUAAGAGUUAGGUAAAUCCGGCUCUUUCUAAGGCUGAGACACGACGUCGAGCACCUACGGGUGUGAAGUCAUUGAUGCCAUGCUUCCAGGAAAAGCCUCUAAGCUUCAGAUUGUAAGGAAUCGUACCCCAAACCGACACAGGUGGUCGGGUAGAGAAUACCAAGGCGCUUGAGAGAACUCGGGUGAAGGAACUAGGCAAAAUGGUACCGUAACUUCGGGAGAAGGUACGCUCUUGAUGGUGAAGUCCCUCGCGGAUGGAGCUGACGAGAGUCGCAGAUACCAGGUGGCUGCAACUGUUUAUUAAAAACACAGCACUGUGCAAAAUCGCAAGAUGACGUAUACGGUGUGACGCCUGCCCGGUGCCGGAAGGUUAAUUGAUGGGGUUAGCGCAAGCGAAGCUCUUGAUCGAAGCCCCGGUAAACGGCGGCCGUAACUAUAACGGUCCUAAGGUAGCGAAAUUCCUUGUCGGGUAAGUUCCGACCUGCACGAAUGGCGUAAUGAUGGCCACGCUGUCUCCACCCGAGACUCAGUGAAAUUGAAAUCGCUGUGAAGAUGCAGUGUACCCGCGGCUAGACGGAAAGACCCCGUGAACCUUUACUACAGCUUGGCACUGAACAUUGAACCUACAUGUGUAGGAUAGGUGGGAGGCUAUGAAGACGUGACGCUAGUUGCGUUGGAGCCGUCCUUGAAAUACCACCCUUGUAUGUUUGAUGUUCUAACUUAGACCCGUUAUCCGGGUUGAGGACAGUGCCUGGUGGGUAGUUUGACUGGGGCGGUCUCCUCCCAAAGAGUAACGGAGGAGCACGAAGGUGGGCUAAUCACGGUUGGACAUCGUGAGGUUAGUGCAAUGGCAUAAGCCCGCUUAACUGCGAGAAUGACGGUUCGAGCAGGUGCGAAAGCAGGUCAUAGUGAUCCGGUGGUUCUGUAUGGAAGGGCCAUCGCUCAACGGAUAAAAGGUACUCCGGGGAUAACAGGCUGAUACCGCCCAAGAGUUCAUAUCGACGGCGGUGUUUGGCACCUCGAUGUCGGCUCAUCACAUCCUGGGGCUGAAGUCGGUCCCAAGGGUAUGGCUGUUCGCCAUUUAAAGUGGUACGCGAGCUGGGUUUAGAACGUCGUGAGACAGUUCGGUCCCUAUCUGCCGUGGGCGUUGGAAGAUUGAAGGGGGCUGCUCCUAGUACGAGAGGACCGGAGUGGACGAACCUCUGGUGUUCGGGUUGUGUCGCCAGACGCAUUGCCCGGUAGCUAAGUUCGGAAUCGAUAACCGCUGAAAGCAUCUAAGCGGGAAGCGAGCCCUGAGAUGAGUCUUCCCUGAUACUUUAAGUAUCCUAAAGGGUUGUUCGAGACUAGAACGUUGAUAGGCAGGGUGUGUAAGCGUUGUGAGGCGUUGAGCUAACCUGUACUAAUUGCCCGUGAGGCUUAACCAU